GACGAACGCUGGCGGCGUGCUUAACACAUGCAAGUCGAACGGAAAGGCCCUGCUUUUGGGGGUUGCUCGAGUGGCGAACGGGUGAGUAACACGUGAGUAACCUGCCCUUGACUUUGGGAUAACUUCAGGAAACUGGGGCUAAUACCGGAUAGGAGCUCCUGCUGCAUGGUGGGGGUUGGAAAGUUUCGGCGGUUGGGGAUGGACUCGCGGCUUAUCAGCUUGUUGGUGGGGUAGUGGCUUACCAAGGCUUUGACGGGUAGCCGGCCUGAGAGGGUGACCGGCCACAUUGGGACUGAGAUACGGCCCAGACUCCUACGGGAGGCAGCAGUGGGGAAUAUUGCACAAUGGGCGGAAGCCUGAUGCAGCAACGCCGCGUGCGGGAUGACGGCCUUCGGGUUGUAAACCGCUUUCGCCUGUGACGAAGCGUGAGUGACGGUAAUGGGUAAAGAAGCACCGGCUAACUACGUG
RNAcentral lists this ribosomal RNA (468 nucleotides) under uncultured bacterium. Its description in RNAcentral is "partial 16S ribosomal RNA". It matches the Rfam family "Bacterial small subunit ribosomal RNA", at positions 28 to 507 of the family's 1533-position model. The record is from RNAcentral.